Molecule: long non-coding RNA, 347 nt
Organism: Homo sapiens (human)
Lineage: Eukaryota; Metazoa; Chordata; Mammalia; Primates; Hominidae
Exons: 3
Source: RefSeq, a predicted model, not a curated record
CCCGGUGAUUUCCACAUUUCAGCAUCUCCCUGUAGGCAGUCAUCUUUUUCCUGGUUCUCCAGUGGGCAGAGACUCAUUGGGUUCCACCAGCGUGGAACCUUAGCAAAUAUCUCCAUCACCCAGUGGGCAUGGCUAUACUGUCUUCAACAAGUUAUUUCCGGAGGACCUACUGAGAUCUGCUCACUGGAAUGUAUUCAUAGGAGCCUACAGAGACAUGCAGUUUGUGAGCACGCCUCAUCGGGACCCCGUGGGUCAGAGCUUACCUUGUCUGGGUCCCUCUGGGAACAGGAGAUUUUUGGAAAUGCUAACUCCGUUAUUCCAAAAGUGCUUUUGUGUCCGGAAUUUGU